RNAcentral lists this transfer RNA (76 nucleotides) under Porticoccaceae bacterium. RNAcentral's name for it is "tRNA-Ile". It matches the Rfam family "tRNA". Rfam says of the family: Transfer RNA (tRNA) molecules are approximately 80 nucleotides in length. Their secondary structure includes four short double-helical elements and three loops (D, anti-codon, and T loops). Lineage: Bacteria; Pseudomonadati; Pseudomonadota; Gammaproteobacteria; Cellvibrionales; Porticoccaceae. The record is from RNAcentral.
CGCCCAUAGCUCAGCUGGUUAGAGCAGUCGACUCAUAAACGAUUGGUCGUAGGUUCAAGUCCUACUGGGCCCACCA